RNAcentral lists this ribosomal RNA (371 nucleotides) under uncultured bacterium. RNAcentral describes it as "bacterial SSU rRNA". It matches the Rfam family "Bacterial small subunit ribosomal RNA", at positions 521 to 896 of the family's 1533-position model. The record is from RNAcentral.
UAAUACGUAGGGUCCUAGCGUUGUCCGGAUUUACUGGGUGUAAAGGGUGCGCAGGCGGACUGAUAAGUCAGGGGUGAAAUCUCACAGCUCAACUGUGAAACUGCCUUUGAUACUGUCAGUCUUGAAUAAGCGAGAGAUUCGUGGAAUUCCGAGUGUAGCAGUGAAAUGUGUAGAUAUUCGGAAGAACACCAGUGGCGAAGGCAGCGAAUUGGCGCUUUAUUGACGCUCAGGCACGAAAGCAUGGGGAUCAAACAGGAUUAGAUACCCUGGUAGUCCAUGCCCUAAACGAUGAUCACUUGGUGUCGGCCGCAAGGUCGGUGCCGGAGCUAACGCGUUAAGUGAUCCACCUGGGGAGUACGCUCGCAAGGGUG